This is a long non-coding RNA of Ursus thibetanus thibetanus, 2558 nucleotides long. The record is from Ensembl. Lineage: Eukaryota; Metazoa; Chordata; Mammalia; Carnivora; Ursidae.
GUGCCUCCCUUCGCAUCUGACUUCUUAGGAGACAGCGGAGGCGCUCCCAACCACAGAUGCGGGGGAAGGCCUGGAGGGGAAAUGUGAGAAAGGGCAGUGAAGCAACCGAGAGGAAAAGUCCCCAUUUUUUCAGGACAGAACUGUAGAGCUGGCUCCACACGUGACAGCACUGUGGGCGCUGCAGGGACUGCCGGUGGCUCCCCCAGCGUCUCCGGGCUUCUUGCGUUGUGCGAGAGCCUGGGGUCAAGACCACAUAGACAGUUUAUAUUGCACUGAGUAGCAUCCCCCUGAAAUGUCCAUCCACCUGGACGCUCCGAAUGCGGCCCCCUUUGGAGGCAGGGUCUUUGCAGACAUCAUUAGUAAAGAUGAGAUCCUGCAGGACGCAGUAGGGCUGGCGUCCUGGUAAGAAGAGGAGAGACAGACAGAGAGACGCAGGGCAGAAGACCACGUGACAACGGAGGCGGGGAUCGCAGUGGGGCAGCCAGGCGCCCAGGAACACCCAGAGCCACCAGAAGCUGGAAGAGACCAGGCUCCUCCCCUGGAGCCAUGAGACAGGGCGCAGCCCCGCGUACCUUGAUCUCAGACCUCCAGCCCCCAGGACUGCGAUUCCAAGCCAGCCGGCUGGUGGUAUUUGUGGUGGCGGCCACAGGCAGCUUUGGGAGCAGUUAAAUCCUCGUCCUGAGCCUCCUCCGCUCGGAGUAACCAGAGAGCCGUCCGUCUUCCCUGCGGAUCCGUCCAGCCACCUGGCCUAUCACGUGCGCCUAGCAAACACGGCUGCUCUUGCCUUCCCAGCCCUCGGGACGGCUUUGUUGUUGGAGGUGUGAGAAGACCGUUGGCUCCUUGGGCCCCAGCACAGCACCUCAGAUGCUACUUCUAGAACUCUCCAGUGCUCAGUGGUUGCUCCCUGCCACCAACUCAUACACAUGGCCAUUCCGUGAGCGUUGUUGAAGGUCUGCCCUGCGCCAGGAAAAAACAGGACAGCAUGUCUCCACAGCACGUCUGGAUUCCAGCCUAUUCAAAUCAACCAUGCUGAAUUGUCCCUGAGCCCUGCCCUCCUGGAAAACAGCAAGAUCUAGAAACCCUCCCGCCCUUCUGUGUUCUGGAAAAAACACUUACUGCAAAGCACCAGCCUUCCCAUGUGACUCAGAUCUGACUCACAGAUGUCCCCUUGUUUACCUGUGACAAGGCCAGUGAAAAACCAUCCAAUUCCCAUUCUCUGCGCAUGAAAGAUUAGCUGACCUGUUUGUCCCCACCGGCCAGUCUGUCCCUUAAGGUCCAAACGUGUCCCUGCCCCUGUGAAGCCUCUCUCCUGCCAGCAGGCUCGCUCUCAGCCCUGCCCAGCGUGCAGUGCCCCACAGCCUCCUGAGAACACGCGGCCAGUGACAGGCACCGGGAGCGACGCCCUCUGAUCUACCGUCCCCUUCUCCAUGGGUGGAGGGGCCGGAGGAGGGGUGGACAGGGCUCUGUUUCAUCGUGAGGGCAGACCAUCUGAGUCUGUGCCCUGCAGAGGCCUGGGGCUGCGGCACCUGAGCAAGUCGCAGGGGUGUGAGGGAGGGCGGCAGGGGCUGUGAGGUGCCCCCAUACACGUCCACUCGGGGGAGGCACAGCCUAGCAAGAGACAGACACCCAAACUCAAAGACUGCCUCAAAGACCCGCCAGACUGUGAGACCAAAACACAGAGGAUGAGAACAGCCGUGGUCGGGGGGGCCCAUGGCAGAAAUGAGGACAUUCUAGAACACGUUCUCCUGACAGGGCUUUAGGGGUUAUUUCCUCCGGGGGCCUCAGAGACCUUCCUCUUUGGUGCAUGGUCUGCUUGGCAAUGUUUGCAGCGCGGUGCUGAGAAGGACCCUGAAGCCAACAUGAACUCAAGGGUCGAUGGACCAGCGGGGCUGCCAGAAGCAUGGGGCUGGGGGAGCAUGGGAUACGCUCCUGAUGGUCUAACCCUAUCGCUUCACAAAGGAGGAAACACGGCCCAGAAAGAGCGCAGCUUUCCUGAAGGCGGCACAGCAGGAAGCGGCAGAAUACAAAUUGUCUGAGGACCCCUCCCUCAGCCACAUGGGAAGCUGACUCAAAGCACACAGGAUCCCGAUGCUCUCCCUGUCGCUGACCUCGCAGGCUGCACCCUCAAACACCUGAGACGCUCACGUCCCACAGGCCUGGGGAACAGGACUCCUCUCUCUCCACCAGAAUCUGGCUGUGCCCGGCCCUGUGGCUUGGCCCGAGCCCACAGCUCAUACGGAUCCCAUAUCAGUGAUUUCUCUGGAAUGAAAACCAACAUUAGCCACUGAAGAGGAUCAUAAAAUCUAAAACCACAGACCUGGAGGGAAACUUAGCUUCUAGUCUACUGUUUACCAAAGGGAUGAUAUUUGGGGGGAAAAUUCAGUGGCUAAAAAAUUAAGAAAAAUUAAAAAAUAAUAAAAAUGCCAGGUAACAUUUAUUUUUAAGCACUAUGUGGGUGCCAGGUACUGCUCUGAGCACCCUGCACCUAGCAGUUCUCUUUAGGUGGCCAGCUUAGAGCACAAGAACUACUCAGAUUCCAGUAAGAGAUUCCUUCUUUG